This 615-nucleotide ribosomal RNA is filed under the name uncultured bacterium. Its description in RNAcentral is "bacterial SSU rRNA". It matches the Rfam family "Bacterial small subunit ribosomal RNA", at positions 63 to 695 of the family's 1533-position model. The record is from RNAcentral.
CGGACUUAGAAGAGCUUGCUCUUUUAAGUUAGUGGCGAACGGGUGAGUAACACGUGAGCAACCUGCCUGACAGAGUGGGAUAACGUUUGGAAACGAACGCUAAUACCGCAUACGCCGUUUUUACCGCAUGGUAGAAAUGGGAAAGGAGUAAUCCGCUGACAGAUGGGCUCGCGCCUGAUUAGAUAGUUGGAGAGGUAAUGGCUUACCAAGUCUACGAUCAGUAGCCGGACUGAGAGGUUGAUCGGCCACAUUGGGACUGAGACACGGCCCAGACUCCUACGGGAGGCAGCAGUGGGGAAUAUUGGGCAAUGGGCGAAAGCCUGACCCAGCGACGCCGCGUGAGGGAAGAAGGUUUUCGGAUUGUAAACCUCUGUCUUCAGGGACGAAAAUGACGGUACCUGAGGAGGAAGCCACGGCUAACUACGUGCCAGCAGCCGCGGUAAUACGUAGGUGGCAAGCGUUGUCCGGAAUUACUGGGUGUAAAGGGAGCGUAGGCGGGAAUGCAAGUUGAAUGUGAAAUCUACCGGCUCAACCGGUAGGCUGCGUUCAAAACUGCAAUUCUUGAGUGAAGUAGAGGCAGGCGGAAUUCCUAGUGUAGCGGUAGAAUGCGUAGAU